CCCAUGCCUUUGCCCGCAUGCUCCACUUCUCUGGGUGCCUGCAACAGCCCCCUCGCUGGCCUCCAGCCCGCCAAUCCUACCCAGGGGAGCCAGAGACACCGUGCUCAAAGGGACCAAACCUCUGCUAGCUUAGAACUGCCCCCAGGAUGAUGUCAAGCCUGGGGUGGAUGCACACGGUCCUUCUCGGUAGCCGGCGCUGCCUGGGUGUCCGGCUUGGUUCUGCCAUGCUAUUUCAAGCCUCCAUGCUUGCUCAUGCCUUUCCCUCAGCCUGAACACCCAGGGCACCUACUCCCCCACCCUCUAGUAUUACUCAUUCUUCAAUAGCUCCUUUUCUUCUUCUUCUUCUUUUUCUUCUGGAAAUACUCACUCAGCUCCUACACCUACUCUCUGGGCCGAGGGCGCUUCCUCUUUGUGCUCCACAGCGCCCUGCCUGGUUCUGCCUUCGUAUUGUUUUGACCCGAUCACACGGCUGUUGUUAUAAGCACUUUAAGGCAUGUGAUGCUGAAGGACUCUAUUAGUAACUGCCCCCACCCCCGACCCUACACACAGUGCCCUGCACUCAGAACCUCCCACCUGCAGACAACUUGCAAGCUUUUUGGGCGCAACACAAUUGAGAGGAGAACUCUUGACUACCUUAAAACAGCCCCCAUUUCAGUUGGAGAAAGGAUGAAGUUAUUUCCUUACAACUAAAUAUAGACAUUCCACAGACUAAGUUCUUUUCUGCCCAAGGGCGGAAACCAAUUCAAUGCAAGUCACAGCGCUUCCUUCACUGUACUAGCGAAAGCUGUCCCAUAUCACCUCCCUCGCGGUUGAGCAGGACACUGCCUGGCAUCAGCCUGAGGCACCCGCCACAGCCAGGCAACAUGGCAAAGGCCCCUGGAGU
Peromyscus maniculatus bairdii (prairie deer mouse) is the source of this 883-nucleotide non-coding RNA. NCBI's taxonomy places the organism in Eukaryota, Metazoa, Chordata, Mammalia, Rodentia, Cricetidae. The record is from RefSeq and is a predicted model, not a curated record.